This 469-nucleotide ribosomal RNA is filed under the name uncultured bacterium. Its description in RNAcentral is "partial 16S ribosomal RNA". It matches the Rfam family "Bacterial small subunit ribosomal RNA", at positions 28 to 507 of the family's 1533-position model. The record is from RNAcentral.
GACGAACGCUGGCGGCGUGCUUAACACAUGCAAGUCGAACGAUGAAGCACCAGCUUGCUGGUGUGGAUUAGUGGCGAACGGGUGAGUAACACGUGAGUAACCUGCCCCUCACUCUGGGAUAAGCCUGGGAAACUGGGUCUAAUACUGGAUACGACCGAUCUCCACAUGGUGUGUUGGGGGAAGGUUUUUGUGGUGGGGGAUGGACUCGCGGCCUAUCAGCUUGUUGGUGGGGUAAUGGCCUACCAAGGCGACGACGGGUAGCCGGCCUGAGAGGGCGACCGGCCACACUGGGACUGAGACACGGCCCAGACUCCUACGGGAGGCAGCAGUGGGGAAUAUUGCACAAUGGGCGAAAGCCUGAUGCAGCGACGCCGCGUGAGGGAUGACGGCCUUCGGGUUGUAAACCUCUUUCGCCAGGGACGAAGCUAACGUGACGGUAACUGGAGAAGAAGCACCGGCUAACUACGUG